RNAcentral lists this ribosomal RNA (492 nucleotides) under uncultured bacterium. RNAcentral's name for it is "partial 16S ribosomal RNA". It matches the Rfam family "Bacterial small subunit ribosomal RNA", at positions 29 to 507 of the family's 1533-position model. The record is from RNAcentral.
AGUGAACGCUGGCGGUAGGCCCAACACAUGCAAGUCGAACGGCAGCACAGUAAGAGCUUGCUCUUACGGGUGGCGAGUGGCGGACGGGUGAGGAAUACAUCGGAAUCUACUUUUUCGUGGGGGAUAACGUAGGGAAACUUACGCUAAUACCGCAUACGACCUACGGGUGAAAGCAGGGGAUCUUCGGACCUUGCGCGAUUGAAUGAGCCGAUGUCGGAUUAGCUAGUUGGCGGGGUAAAGGCCCACCAAGGCGACGAUCCGUAGCUGGUCUGAGAGGAUGAUCAGCCACACUGGAACUGAGACACGGUCCAGACUCCUACGGGAGGCAGCAGUGGGGAAUAUUGGACAAUGGGCGCAAGCCUGAUCCAGCCAUACCGCGUGGGUGAAGAAGGCCUUCGGGUUGUAAAGCCCUCUUGUUGGGAAAGAAAAGCAGCAGGUUAAUACCCCGCUGUUCUGACGGUACCCAAAGAAUAAGCACCGGCUAACUUCGUG